Long non-coding RNA from Betta splendens (Siamese fighting fish), 1435 nucleotides. RefSeq lists it as uncharacterized. Lineage: Eukaryota; Metazoa; Chordata; Actinopteri; Anabantiformes; Osphronemidae. The record is from RefSeq and is a predicted model, not a curated record. The transcript is spliced from 5 exons.
UACACUAAGAGCCUUCUUGGAAAUACCAUCAAAUGAAUCCAAACCACAAUUAGCUCAGUGUGUACUUUCACAGGUUCACCAAGUACUUGCUGCAGGCAAUUUUCGAAGACCGGAGACCUUUUCUGGCAGACGUGGCUGCAUUGGGUUUCAAAAGUCGAGGUGGAUGCUUUCCAGGCUGUAUUUACUGUUAUUGUUUAGGAUUGGGUGUGAAAAGAGGUCUUAACCUCAGUAAUCAGUGAAAAAAAAGACGCUGUUUUGUAGAACACACCGUGAUGGGAUUCAGGUUAUGUCGGUUUCACACGAGGACAGAAAAGCUGCCGGCAGCUGUUUUCUGUGAAGAAGCUCUACGGAGUUCAAUAUCUGCCCAGCACCGACCCCCAAACAGCAAAAGAUGAGUAACUAACAAGCUAGUGGAGCGUUCAGGAACUUAAAUGAAACCUGACUUUAUUGCUUUUGCCAUACAGACUUUCUAAGCACACUUUUUUUACUGCUGCCACAGCUGACCUAAAAUCAACCAUAGCUUGCUAUUUAUACAAUCUGAAGCCUGUUCCUGUUUUCCUCAGCAUAUACACAGCAUGAAUGUUGGCAAAGGUCACAAGAGGGAAAUUCAGCGAGGGAGGGAAGAAACACAAUUUAAGAGGUGACUUAAUCUUUCUCGCUCACCGGCGAUGGGUGGUCCGAGCAGGCCUCCACUGCUGCGUAUGAGCAUGAAGAAGCCCAGCGCACUCCCCAGCCUCCUGACGCCCACCACCUCAGCCAGCACGGUGAUGUGGACGGCGACUGUUGCGCCGAAAACCAGGCCGUAAGCCGCGCUAAAGGCGGCCAGCUCCGGGAAGGUGGAGGCCAGCGGGCAGAGGAGCAGCACGGCCCCCAGCAGGAACACGAAAGCUUGGUCCUCUCUGCUCCAGGCCUCCCUGCUCUGCAUUUUCCUCACUGGCACAAGUUGCGGGAGUAGCGCCUGCUAGGGGCCUCAGCAGAACCCCACACACGCACAGGUUAAGCUGCAGACCCCCCAGGACCAGCAAAGCCCCCCUCCAGGAGAAGCUGUUAAUCAACAGCUGGAACAGCGGUGUGAGGACAAAGGACUUGACGACCCCGAAGGUCAAACCGAAGACCAGGAAGCAGGAAAGCAACACAAACCAGGCGUAGCCACUGUCAGGGGCCGAUGAUGGUGCUGCAGAUACUGCUGCCCUCUGGGGCUUCACUCGAGAUGCCAUGUUAAUCUCUGACUUCAAAAAUCUAGGGAGAAAUUAGGAAGUUGGUUUAACCAGCAAUAAGAAAAUGUUUUAAACAAACACAGUAACAUAAUGACACGAUGUGGGUUAAACUACUUUAGUAUUCUUAGAGUUACUUUCUAUGUUUUUAUUUCAUUUUACUACAAAAGUUAUUAUGUAUUGUGUUAUAUGUAUAAUGUCAAUAAAUUGUUCAUAAUUGA